This is a non-coding RNA of Myotis davidii, 347 nucleotides long. NCBI's taxonomy places the organism in Eukaryota, Metazoa, Chordata, Mammalia, Chiroptera, Vespertilionidae. The record is from the annotation of a RefSeq genome assembly.
CUGAAAUGGUCACCAGGCUCUUCUUCUGGGUGGCUCUUUGUCUUCUGUGGGCAGGAAACCUGGAUGCCCGAAUCACCCAGAGCCCAAGAUACAAGGUUGUGGGGACGGAAAAGAAUUUGACACUGAGUUGUCACCAGACUGAUAACCAUAACUAUAUGUACUGGUAUCGCCAAGACCUGAGCCAUGAGCUGACGCUGAUCUAUUACUCAGUUGGUGCUGGGAUCACCGCCAAAGGAGAUGGUGCCGAUGGGUACAGUGUCUCUAGAUCAAAUACAGAGAACUUUUCCCUCACACUGGAGUCAGCUACACCCUCCCAGACAUCUGUGUACUUCUGUGCCAGCAGUUAA